RNAcentral lists this transfer RNA (65 nucleotides) under Ephemera sp. XL-2019. Its description in RNAcentral is "tRNA-Asn". The record is from RNAcentral. Lineage: Eukaryota; Metazoa; Arthropoda; Insecta; Ephemeroptera; Ephemeridae.
UUAGAUAAAGCCAAAUCAGAGGCUUAUCACUGUUAAUGAUAGAAUUGGUUAUUAACCUAUCUGAA